UGGGGAAUUUUCCGCAAUGGGCGAAAGCCUGACGGAGCAAUGCCGCGUGGAGGUGGAAGGCCUACGGGUCGUCAACUUCUUUUCUCGGAGAAGAAACAAUGACGGUAUCUGAGGAAUAAGCAUCGGGCUAACUCUGUGCCAG
This 142-nucleotide ribosomal RNA is filed under the name uncultured bacterium. Its description in RNAcentral is "partial 16S rRNA". It matches the Rfam family "Bacterial small subunit ribosomal RNA", at positions 355 to 511 of the family's 1533-position model. The record is from RNAcentral.